RNAcentral lists this ribosomal RNA (253 nucleotides) under uncultured bacterium. RNAcentral describes it as "partial 16S ribosomal RNA". It matches the Rfam family "Bacterial small subunit ribosomal RNA", at positions 524 to 776 of the family's 1533-position model. The record is from RNAcentral.
UACAGAGGUCCCAAGCGUUGUUCGGAUUCACUGGGCGUAAAGGGUGCGUAGGUGGUGAGGUAAGUCGGAUGUGAAAGCUCGGAGCUCAACUCCGAAAUGGCAUUGGAAACUACCUUGCUCGAGGGUUGGAGGGGGGACUGGAAUGCUUGGUGUAGCGGUGAAAUGCGUAGAUAUUGGGAGGAACACCAGUGGCGAAGGCGGCUCACUGGACCGGAACUGACGCUGAGGCGCGAAAGCGUGGGGAGCAAACGGG